This is a transfer RNA of Hydnomerulius pinastri MD-312, 84 nucleotides long. It matches the Rfam family "tRNA". From Rfam's summary of the family: Transfer RNA (tRNA) molecules are approximately 80 nucleotides in length. Their secondary structure includes four short double-helical elements and three loops (D, anti-codon, and T loops). Further hydrogen bonds mediate the characteristic L-shaped molecular structure. tRNAs have two regions of fundamental functional importance: the anti-codon, which is responsible for specific mRNA codon recognition, and the 3' end, to which the tRNAs corresponding amino acid is attached (by aminoacyl-tRNA synthetases). tRNAs cope with the degeneracy of the genetic code in two manners: having more than one tRNA (with a specific anti-codon) for a particular amino acid; and 'wobble' base-pairing, i.e. permitting non-standard base-pairing at the 3rd anti-codon position. The record is from Rfam. Lineage: Eukaryota; Fungi; Basidiomycota; Agaricomycetes; Boletales.
GGCUACCUAGCGCAAUGGUAGCGCGUUUGGCUUCGAUUGCCCAACGGCACCAAAAGGUUGCAGGUUCGAGUCCUGCGGUGGUCA